GGCCUGGUAGUCUAAUGGUUAAGAUGCUUCAGACAGCUCUCUAACUUGUAUAGAACUCUUUAAAGAGACCUGGGUUCAAAUCUCAGCUAGGCCA
The sequence is a transfer RNA, 94 nucleotides long. It matches the Rfam family "tRNA". From Rfam's summary of the family: Transfer RNA (tRNA) molecules are approximately 80 nucleotides in length. Their secondary structure includes four short double-helical elements and three loops (D, anti-codon, and T loops). The record is from Rfam.